RNAcentral lists this ribosomal RNA (603 nucleotides) under Serratia sp. ST12.14/278. Its description in RNAcentral is "bacterial SSU rRNA". It matches the Rfam family "Bacterial small subunit ribosomal RNA", at positions 632 to 1233 of the family's 1533-position model. The record is from RNAcentral. Lineage: Bacteria; Pseudomonadati; Pseudomonadota; Gammaproteobacteria; Enterobacterales; Yersiniaceae.
ACUGGCCAGCUAGAGUCUUGUAGAGGGGGGUAGAAUUCCAUGUGUAGCGGUGAAAUGCGUAGAGAUCUGGAGGAAUACCGGUGGCGAAGGCGGCCCCCUGGACAAAGACUGACGCUCAGGUGCGAAAGCGUGGGGAGCAAACAGGAUUAGAUACCCUGGUAGUCCACGCUGUAAACGAUGUCGACUUGGAGGUUGUGCCCUUGAGGCGUGGCUUCCGGAGCUAACGCGUUAAGUCGACCGCCUGGGGAGUACGGCCGCAAGGUUAAAACUCAAAUGAAUUGACGGGGGCCCGCACAAGCGGUGGAGCAUGUGGUUUAAUUCGAUGCAACGCGAAGAACCUUACCUACUCUUGACAUCCAGAGAACUCACUAGAGAUACCUUAGUGCCUUCGGGAACUCUGAGACAGGUGCUGCAUGGCUGUCGUCAGCUCGUGUUGUGAAAUGUUGGGUUAAGUCCCGCAACGAGCGCAACCCUUAUCCUUUGUUGCCAGCGCGUAAUGGCGGGAACUCAAAGGAGACUGCCGGUGAUAAACCGGAGGAAGGUGGGGGAUGACGUCAAGUCAUCAUGGCCCUUACGAGUAGGGCUACACACGUGCUACAAUGG